UAUGGAUAUAGCUCAGUUGGUAGAGUACUUGUUUGUGUGCACAAGGCCCUGGGUUCAAUCCUCAGCACCAUAA
RNAcentral lists this transfer RNA (73 nucleotides) under Marmota monax (woodchuck). Its description in RNAcentral is "tRNA.Undet". The record is from RNAcentral. Lineage: Eukaryota; Metazoa; Chordata; Mammalia; Rodentia; Sciuridae.